RNAcentral lists this microRNA precursor (89 nucleotides) under Pelobates cultripes (western spadefoot toad). The record is from RNAcentral. Lineage: Eukaryota; Metazoa; Chordata; Amphibia; Anura; Pelobatidae.
AGACUAAAUGCCUAGGGUCCUGUCCCCCCCUCCUUCUAGACCGCUGGUCUUGAAGGAGGGGGGGACAGGACCCUAGGCAUAGGUGAAGC